Molecule: long non-coding RNA, 827 nt
Organism: Helianthus annuus (common sunflower)
Lineage: Eukaryota; Viridiplantae; Streptophyta; Magnoliopsida; Asterales; Asteraceae
Exons: 2
Source: RefSeq, a predicted model, not a curated record
CCGGGGAAAUAUAAAAUAUUACAGACAAAUCAUGAAUUCGAGCACAUAUAUCAGACUUCAAUAAAUAUACAUUAUUAUAACCAGGCACAAAGAUGUACAAAAAUAUAAAUAAAAAAGGAUAGAAUAUGUUGACCUUUUCCAAAGCUAAGGUAGAUGCCAGUAGUUGAGUUGACGUUACAAUGUGGUCAUUUGACUUAUGUGGUGAAUUACGGGAUCUAGAGCUAUAACAAGAUAACUUUGUAGUUUUCUUCUACAUUUGGACCAUUAAGUGGCUUAUCGCCAUAUAAUUCUUUGUUUGGAAACAAGCUUAUAUCAUCAUUUUCAGACACAAAAACUCUGUCUAGACAAAAGUUUCAGUACACUGCAAUAUCUUAUUCAUAUCAGCACAUGGAUAUCCUAAUUUAACAUAAAACAUAAAAGAAAACUCGAUUUCGUCGCGAAGAACACUUUGACAUCAAACGCGAGAUGACGAAGAAGGCAACAAAUUAAAGGCGGUGACUCUGACUCUCUUGUGGCAGAAACUGUGGUCCGUUCAUCAUCUAUUGCAGCCAGAGGGAAUUAAGUGGAUCUGGCAGGUGUUCAUGUUCCAAGCUACGUCAUGAAUAAAAAGAUGUCAUCCGAAGUUGUUAGGGUUUAGGAGAUGUAUCUUAAUCCUGGACGAGAUACAUGGUUCUAAACUCGGUUUUAUUUAAGUCUUUUGUUGAGUCUUCGUGAACUCUUUCAAACAUGUUGUGGGUUGUAAUUUAAAUUUGAAGUCUACGUUCCAAACAAUAAUGUUGUGGUGUUUUCAAACUUAAUUUAUGGAUGAACAUCGAACGGUUUUAUCA